AUAUCAAGGCAUGUACGAUAAUGGAUUCUAAUAAUCUCGUUGUCCUACUUGCAGUAUGGUUGAGUAUUGGAAUAUCUACUUCAUUUGUACUGGAUUCUACAGAAUUUCGUUGUGGAGAUAAUGUCUGUCAAAGACAUCAGGUAUUUG
This is a long non-coding RNA of Mytilus trossulus (common blue mussel), 147 nucleotides long. RefSeq lists it as uncharacterized. NCBI's taxonomy places the organism in Eukaryota, Metazoa, Mollusca, Bivalvia, Mytilida, Mytilidae. The transcript is spliced from 3 exons. The record is from RefSeq and is a predicted model, not a curated record.